AUCGCCGCGAUAUUUAUCUGAAACAAAAAAUACAAAUUUUUAAUAAUAAAUUUUAUUUUUAGCUCCUUUUGUUUUUAUUACUAAUUUUUUUUUUUACUUUUCCUUUGAUUUUUGUUCAAAGACCUUUUGGCCGAAAGCCAAAAGGCAUAGGCUAAUUCAAAGGAAAUGUUAAAAAGAAAUAUAAAGUAAGAAAGAAGCACGAAAAUAUUUGUUUACUAUUAAAAAUUUGUAGUUAUUCUUAUUAUUCUAUUUUUAUAGAGUAGCUCAUACUGAAGCUUACUUUUUUCUUAACACUUUUUCUUUCCUAGUCAAAACUUGCUUAGUAAAAUAAAAGAAAAAAGUAAGAUAUACCUUCGUAUGAUGCAACAACUAUUUUUGUUAAGAAUUUGUAGUUUCGAUGAACCCUUCUGAGUAACAUCUCAAAAGUCAUAGCAAGGUAGCUUGUACUGGAAA
This 453-nucleotide ribosomal RNA is filed under the name Gymnopilus suberis. RNAcentral's name for it is "partial 16S ribosomal RNA". Lineage: Eukaryota; Fungi; Basidiomycota; Agaricomycetes; Agaricales; Galerinaceae. The record is from RNAcentral.